GUAAUAGCCAUAGCAAUUGAUAUUUGGUAAGUUUUAAUUAACUUAAUUAACCAACCGGUUGGAUUUUUAAAAACCCAUUUUUUUUUAACAAACAGAUGUGUUCCUCUCUUUUUGUUUUAUUUAUGUUUUAUAGGCGAGCAAUUCGAACUGCAUUUAAAAACAGAAAGCGGGCUGCUAUUCUGACCACUCACUAUAUGGAGGAGGCAGAGGCUGUCUGUGAUCGAGUAGCUAUCAUGGUGUCUGGGCAGUUAAGAUGUAUCGGAACAGUACAACAUCUAAAGAGUAAAUUUGGAAAAGGCUACUUUUUGGAAAUUAAAUUGAAGGACUGGAUAGAAAACCUAGAAGUAGACCGCCUUCAAAGAGAAAUUCAGUAUAUUUUCCCAAAUGCAAGCCGUCAGGAAAGUUUUUCUUCUAUUUUGGCUUAUAAAAUUCCUAAGGAAGAUGUUCAGUCCCUUUCACAAUCUUUUUUUAAGCUGGAAGAAGGUAAGUAGUAUCUUCUAUUUUGGCUUAUAAAAUUCCUAAGGAAGAUGUUCAGUCCCUUUCACAAUCUUUUUUUAAGCUGGAAGAAGCUAAACAUGCUUUUGCCAUUGAAGAAUAUAGCUUUUCUCAAGCAACAUUGGAACAGGUUUUUGUAGAACUCACUAAAGAACAAGAGGAGGAAGAUAAUAGUUGUGGAACUUUAAACAGCACACUUUGGUGGGAACGAACACAAGAAGAUAGAGUAGUAUUUUGAAUUUGUAUUGUUCGGUCUGCUUACUGGGACUUCUUUCUUUUUCACUUAAUUUUAACUUUGGUUUAAAAAGUUUUUUAUUGGAAUGGUAACUGGAGAACCAAGAACGCACUUGAAAUUUUUCUAAGCUCCUUAAUUGAAAUGCUGUGGUUGUGUGUUUUGCU
RNAcentral lists this long non-coding RNA (894 nucleotides) under Homo sapiens (human). Its description in RNAcentral is "HSALNT0244424". The record is from RNAcentral. Lineage: Eukaryota; Metazoa; Chordata; Mammalia; Primates; Hominidae.